RNAcentral lists this ribosomal RNA (253 nucleotides) under uncultured bacterium. Its description in RNAcentral is "partial 16S ribosomal RNA". It matches the Rfam family "Bacterial small subunit ribosomal RNA", at positions 524 to 776 of the family's 1533-position model. The record is from RNAcentral.
UACGGGGGGUGCGAGCGUUGUCCGGAAUCACUGGGCGUAAAGGGCGCGUAGGUGGUUUGAUAAGGGUGUGGUGAAAGUCCGGGGCUCAACCCCGGAUCUGCCGUGCCGACUGUCAAACUCGAGGACUGUAGAGGCAGACGGAAUUCCGGGUGUAGCGGUGGAAUGCGUAGAGAUCCGGAAGAACACCGGUGGCGAAGGCGGUCUGCUGGGGUCGAACUGACGCUGAGGCACGAAAGCGUGGGGAGCAAACAGG